RNAcentral lists this ribosomal RNA (468 nucleotides) under uncultured bacterium. RNAcentral's name for it is "partial 16S ribosomal RNA". It matches the Rfam family "Bacterial small subunit ribosomal RNA", at positions 28 to 507 of the family's 1533-position model. The record is from RNAcentral.
GACGAACGCUGGCGGCGUGCUUAACACAUGCAAGUCGAACGGAAAGGCCCUGCUUUUGUGGGGUGCUCGAGUGGCGAACGGGUGCGUAACACGUGAGUAACCUGCCCUUGACUUUGGGAUAACUUCAGGAAACUGGGGCUAAUACCGGAUAGGAGCUCCUGCUGCAUGGUGGGGGUUGGAAAGUUUCGGCGGUUGGGGAUGGACUCGCGGCCUAUCAGCCUGUCGGUGGGGUAGUGGCUUACCAAGGUUUUGACGGGUAGCCGGCCUGAGAGGGUGACCGGCCACAUUGGGACUGAGAUGCGGGCCGGACUCCUACGGGGGGCAGCGGUGGGGAAUAUUGCACAAUGGGCGGAAGCCUGAUGCAGCAACUCCGCGUGCGAGAUGACGGCCGUCGGGUUGUAAACCGCUUUCGCCUGUGACGAAGCGUGAGUGACGGUAAUGUGUAAAGAAGCACCGGCUAACUACGUG